This is a long non-coding RNA of Mytilus californianus (California mussel), 4205 nucleotides long. RefSeq lists it as uncharacterized. Lineage: Eukaryota; Metazoa; Mollusca; Bivalvia; Mytilida; Mytilidae. The transcript has 3 exons. The record is from RefSeq and is a predicted model, not a curated record.
AACAUACCCAGCAUUAAAACCAGCCAAAACGAAGAAAUGAAAGGAUGCCACCAAAACUUCAAUUAUUUAAAAUGCAUAGAAGAGACAGACAAUCACCUGUGAAAGUUAGUAAAGAUUUUCCUAAUAACUACUCAGUUGCCCUUCUUAAGUGUGGAAAAGAGCUUUCUGAAGAGGAUUUUUCAUCUCUGAAACUACUUUUACAAUUGAACGAGCUUGUUACAGUAAAAGAUCUUGAAAAAGUAAACAAUUCUAUAGAAUUGAUUUCUUUCUUGGACAAAAGAAGUUUUGUAACAGAUAAGGACUUAGAAUUUUUAAGGAGGUGCUUUAUGGCUAUAGGGAGAAUGGAUUUGAUAAUUAAGUAUAUAGAUACAUGUACAUCUACAUCUACAAACAACAGCUGCACUUCAAGAUCCAAUACGCUACCUCUAUUAAAUUGGCAGCCUUCAAGUGCACAUGGGAGUGCAUCAGGUUCCCAGGAGAACUUUACAGAACUAAAAGAAGGCACAGAUGGUGCUACAGCUGCUGUCAGUAUGAUGGAGGAUGAGGAUAGUGAUGUAAUCCAAAGUUCCCAGGACAGCUUGACUGAUGACGACAAACUGGCAUUGUUUGAGUAAAACUUAUUUGGACAGUGAAAAUGUUAUGAUGUAAAAUAUUGUUAUCAAAUGCAAUGUGUGCUAAGAUUCAAUCUGAAUAUAUGUCUAACUUUACAUCAUUGGGUGAAGAUCUAGACAUUCAGCGUUUAGUGAAAGUUAUUGAUGGUUCAACAGACAAUGAGCUUGCUCAAGAUAAUUUGACAACUGAGAUGGUUUGAAAAUUCUGAUCUUUGUAAAAGAUGAUUUCAUUUAUUUAUCUAUGUGCCAGUACUGAUUUAAUAGGGCUUUAAUGAAUUUUAGUCAGUUAUUUUUAAAUUAAUGAUAUAGCUUAGUCAUGUUAGUAUAGUUUAAAUAAUAAGAACAAUUAGUGCAUAAAGAGUAGACAUGAGUAAUGUAUUUUGUCCAGCAUAUUGUCAUACAUCAUAUAAAUUGUAUUUGAAACAGACAAGUAUUUUUAUGGUUUUUGCCAGAAUGUAGAAUAUUAUUUCUGAAAAAAUGCUGAAAUAGUAAAAAUCAGACACUAAAACACUAAUCAAACACAUAUAAAAUAUACCACCCACAUUGCAUCAGAAAAUAUUUUGUCCAAUGGAAAAUUUAUAUUAAGAUGAUAUUUAAUCAAGGACUUCGACAGUAUUUAUUUUUGUACAUAUCAAACUAUGUGUAAGGUGUAUCAUUUAUACCAGUGUUCAAUUUUUUUGUUAGACCAAACAUUGCAUAUACGUCUUACAAUGAUAUGACACAGCCUUUUUAGCUGAAACAUUUAUGUGAGAGUUCAAAUCAAUUAUUUUCAGAAAUAUUGUAUCUGACUUUUUGGCCACCUACAAGAAUUAUGACUAAAAUGGUUUUUGCUUUAAUUUUGUUUUGCAGAAAUUAUAUAUAUUUACAUGGUGUUAAGAUAACACCACCCAGUUAAUGACCAGAGAUUUUAAUAUUAAAACUUUUUUUUCAAUGCAAUGCAUAAUAUUCUUUUAUGAUAUAUAUUGAUAUGUCUUGAUUAACUAAAUUCAAAGACAGAUAACCAAGGUUCUCCCUGAGGAUUUUAAAACUCAUCAUUUUGUACUACAUGCAUUGCAAGUAAUUAAGAAAAACAGUUUAUCUUAAUUCACCUGUUCAAGUCCUCUUGUAAAAACAAAAUGAGAAUAAAAAUUCAUUUCUUUUUUUAACUUUUACAAGCAUGAGUUGAUAAUGACUAGACUCUGCAGAAAAAAUCUAAAUGCAUCUUUGUACUCGCCAGUUUUAAAGUGUCAUUUCUAGUCUGAUGUCAGGACCCAUGGUCUCAACUUGAUCAGAACCCUGAUAUUUAGUUUAAACAAGUCAUUAAAUGCAUGCUGGUGGUCAAUUAUUUGUUGUUUUCUUUUAUAAAGAUUUUUGGACAUUUAGUGAACAAAGAGAGUAAUGUAUGGUAUAUGUGUUCAUUUAUCAUAUCAAUCAUGAUCACAUUUGUAUACAGGUUUUUGUGCUAAUGUAUGUAAAACUCAAUUUUGAUCAAGUUUUUCCUGUAACAGUUUUUAUAUGCAAUUCAGUAUUUUCAGGAGCUACAAAGGUCAAGAAGACCAAACAUGACAUGCAAAAAUCAGGGUAUUAUAUUUUUGGACAUAUUUGUUACAGAUUUUAUUGUGCUGAAGUUUAUACUUUUUGAUCAAAGUAAAAUUGUCCUUGAGUGAUUAUCAUUGAUCCUGUAGUUCAUAUCAAUUUAUAGUCAUGUGCUGUUUUGUAAAUAAGAUGGCUAACGAAAAACAUUGUAUAUAUUUUGAUAUAGCUCAUUUUGUCCAAAGGACCAGUUCACAAAUGGACGUUAUUUUUAUUAGAGAUGCUGUAUUAUAGUCUUAUCAACUAGCUUAGUGGAUAAGUGUUACCAAUAUCUUUUAAAAGGGUAUUUGUUGUUUGGUGAUUAUUUUUAUAAGUAAACCCCCCCCCCAAAAAGUUAAUGAACUUUUUGGGGGAGGGGGAGGCAUACUAAAGGAAUUACCUUGUCCAUCUGUCCAUGUUCCUACAACUCCUAAAUGGCUGGAUGGUCAUUGAUUAAAUUUUAAGCAGUUGUAGAACACUACCUGGGGAGGUCCAAAAGGGAUUAAAACAAUAGUCCUACAUGCUAAAGGGGAGAUAAUCUAACUUAAUUCAAUGUUGCUAUAUGUGGUAAAAGUCUAUUGUAAGUGCAACUACCAAUCAACAGCUAAAUAGAUAUUGUUAAAACUUAACACAGUUGAAGAACACUACAUGAGAAUGUGCAUAUAAAAGGAAUAUUAUUAUGGUCCAACCAUGUUUAUAAAGGAAAGAUAAUUAACUUACUUUCUUAAAUAUUGCUAUAUGUGGUAAUAGUUUGUUGUAAGCGACUCCUUCUAAACAGGAAGGCAGUAGUUAAUAACUUUACACAGUUGAAGAAGCAUACAUGAGGAUGUGCAUGAAGGAAUAUGAUUGUAGUCCAAAAUGUAAAAGGGUUAAAGGGGAGACAAUCAAUCUUUUUUUAUUUUGGUUCACUCAUAGUUCUUCUUCAUUUAUUUUUUUUGCAGGGGGAGGGGGGAUGUGAAAGAACUUUAUAUACCUCAUUUCUCUAGUUUUUAUGGUAGAUUGACACUGUUCAAAAUUUAUUCACAAAUCAAAAGAAUCUGGUUUAGGCAUGAUGGGAUAUAAUGUGUUUAAACCAGGGGGAGAUAAUUAACACUGGGACACUUAAUGUCAACACAUAAAUACAUGUUUUGGUGAUAUCGAUCAUUCCUUAUAUUCCUGGCAAUAAUUAUCAGAACCAAUACGGUUUAAAUAAUAAAAUGCAUUUGAAACUUAUUUGCAUGAAAUGUUUAUUUGUUCUAGUAGACACAGGAUGUGUAUCAUUUGUAUAAAGUCUUUUGACUAAAAAAUUCCAGAAGAGUUAAAAUUUGUAGCAUGCUUUAGAUUUUAGCCAAAUGUGUUCAGUUUGUUUAUAAAGUGUGUUCAAUUGUUUUUUUAUAAAUAAAUGUGGAAAUACAUGUACAGUGAAAAUCUUAUAAACUGGUUUACCAUACAUAAAAGUCAAUCUUUGGGACAUUAGGGCAGCUGACUUUUGAUGCCCUACAAUAAAGGUGGAAAAUAAAUUUAACACAACAGAAAAUUCCAUUAUAUUUGUUGAUAUUCAAAUUUUGUAGCAUGUGUAUAUUUAACAAAAAUUUAUGGUGGACUUAAACCGUUUUUUAUUUAUUAUAAAUUAGGAAGCAACUCACCCUUGGCAAAGCAGAUAACGGACAAUUUUGGCUUUUAUUUUCAGGCCCAUUUAUGAUUGUUUAAGUUUAUGUAAUUAUUUUUUCAGCAGCAAAAUCAAGGUUAUAGAUUGUUGAUUAUUUUACUGUUUCACCUUUAUUUCAGAUUGAUGCCACAGUUGAGCACAUUAAAAGUUUUACACCGUAGCAUAUUCCAUUCAAUAAAACAGCACACAUGACAAUGAAUAAGUGCUUUGAUUAAUAUACCAUCUUUCAUUACAACUACCAAAUUUUGGAUCAUCGUCAUAUUCAAUUUACCCAGUACUUUCUAAUAUUUUGGUUUUAAAGGUUGCUUGUUUGAAGAAUUUUCACUGUAUAUGCAUAUUUCUAAUUUUGAUUAAAAAAUGAGGCAUGUAAAAUAAAUAAAUGCUUAUGAUAAAUA